RNAcentral lists this ribosomal RNA (250 nucleotides) under uncultured delta proteobacterium. Its description in RNAcentral is "partial 16S ribosomal RNA". It matches the Rfam family "Bacterial small subunit ribosomal RNA", at positions 524 to 773 of the family's 1533-position model. The record is from RNAcentral. Lineage: Bacteria; Deltaproteobacteria.
UACGGAGGGUGCGAACGUUAAUCGGAAUCACUGGGCGUAAAGCGCGCGUAGGCGGUCUGUUAAGUGGGAUGUGAAAUCCCCGGGCUUAACCUGGGAAUUGCAUUUCAAACUGGCCGACUAGAGUACGGUAGAGGGAGGUAGAAUUUCCUGUGUAGCGGUGAAAUGCGUAGAUAUAGGAAGGAAUACCAGUGGCGAAGGCGGCCUCCUGGAUCGAUACUGACGCUGAGGCGCGAAAGCGUGGGGAGCAAAC